RNAcentral lists this ribosomal RNA (580 nucleotides) under Ravinia derelicta. RNAcentral describes it as "eukaryotic LSU rRNA". It matches the Rfam family "Eukaryotic large subunit ribosomal RNA", at positions 688 to 1203 of the family's 3401-position model. The record is from RNAcentral. Lineage: Eukaryota; Metazoa; Arthropoda; Insecta; Diptera; Sarcophagidae.
CAGUUAUUGGGUAUCAAAACCUAAUAGCGAAAUUAACAUAACUUAUUAUGGGAUUAGUUUUUAGAUUAUUUAUAGUCUAUUAAUUCAAUCCCGGGGCGUUCUAUUUGGUUAUGUAUAAUAAUAUUUAUAUUAUUUAUACCUCUAACUAGAGCGUACCUUGAGCAUAUAUGCUGUGACCCGAAAGAUGGUGAACUAUACUUGAUCAGGUUGAAGUCAGGGGAAACCCUGAUGGAAGACCGAAACAGUUCUGACGUGCAAAUCGAUUGUCAGAAUUGAGUAUAGGGGCGAAAGACCAAUCGAACCAUCUAGUAGCUGGUUCCCUCCGAAGUUUCCCUCAGGAUAGCUGGUGCAUUUAGAAAUUAUGUAAAAUAAUCUUAUCUGGUAAAGCGAAUGAUUAGAGGCCUUAGGGUCGAAACGACCUUAACCUAUUCUCAAACUUUAAAUGGGUAAGAACCUCACCUUUCUUGGUAUGAAGGUUGUGGUUGUGAUAUAAUGUGCCCAGUGGGCCACUUUUGGUAAGCAGAACUGGCGCUGUGGGAUGAACCAAACGUAAUGUUACGGUGCCCAAAUUAACAACUCA